Molecule: long non-coding RNA, 887 nt
Organism: Vigna radiata var. radiata (mung bean)
Lineage: Eukaryota; Viridiplantae; Streptophyta; Magnoliopsida; Fabales; Fabaceae
Exons: 5
Source: RefSeq, a predicted model, not a curated record
UUUCUUAUUGUUUCAAAAAGCUUCCUUACUUUUGAAGACUCGCCUCCAUCGAAGCUCGUUGCCAUCGAAGGUCGUCACCAUCAAAGCACGUCGUUGUCGAAGCUCGUCGCCGUCGUAGGCUCACUGCCAUCGAAGGCUUUGUCGCACUCGUCGCCGAACCAUUGAAGGCUUUGCCAUACUCUGCCGUCGCCGAAUUGCCGUCGCCUAACCACCAUCAUUGAAGAUUCUGAAAAAACUUCUCUUUAGCUGCAAAGAGAAGCAAAUAUGCAACCCAAAGAAAUCUGGUAAUGAUUGCUUGUACGUGGAGGGAGCAUUUGGGGUUCUUCCAUCAUCAGUGACCAAGGGAGAGAAACUUUUGGAAAGCAUUGGUGGCAUAUUCUCUAGAAUUUGAAAGCAUUGCCCUGUUGGUUUUGAAGGUCUGGCCAAUCCAUGUUUAUGUAGUUCAUGAGCAUGAGGGAGAGUGGGAGGCUUGUCAUUGCGGAUUUGGCUUUCGAAGAUGUCAAGGUUGAAGGUUGUGGAUCUUAAGGUGAAUUGUUUCUUAAGCAAGCUUAUCAAUGUGACAGUUCCAGGGACCAUUGAUGAACGAGCAAUCAAUACGAAAAGAUACUGAGUCCAUGGGAAGGAAUGAAAAUCACACACUUUGCCUCAACUCUGCUAAAGCAAUUGAAUGUACAGUGGUUAACAUUGGCACGCAGGAUUUCAUUGAACAAAGAGUAUGUUUGUAUUCUUUUUAGGUUUCACCCUUAAAAGCAUAAUUAUUGUGGCUGUGUACAAUGCAGAAACACAAUUUAAGUUUAGAUUUUAUUAACAAAUGAAUUUGAAAUAGGAUUUUUUUUUAUUUAUAAAAAUAUUGGCGAAAUCUAAUCAGAAUUAUUAGAUUAGAAUUA